AUGAACGCUGGCGGCGUGCCUAAUACAUGCAAGUCGAGCGAACAGACGAGGAGCUUGCUCCUCUGACGUUAGCGGCGGACGGGUGAGUAACACGUGGAUAACCUACCUAUAAGACUGGGAUAACUUCGGGAAACCGGAGCUAAUACCGGAUAAUAUAUUGAACCGCAUGGUUCAAUAGUGAAAGACGGUUUUGCUGUCACUUAUAGAUGGAUCCGCGCCGCAUUAGCUAGUUGGUAAGGUAACGGCUUACCAAGGCGACGAUGCGUAGCCGACCUGAGAGGGUGAUCGGCCACACUGGAACUGAGACACGGUCCAGACUCCUACGGGAGGCAGCAGUAGGGAAUCUUCCGCAAAGGGCGAAAGCCUGACGGAGCAAAGCCGCGUGAGUGAUGAAGGUCUUCGUAUCGUAAAACUCUGUUAUGAGGGAAGAACAAAUGUGUAAGUAACUAUGCACGGCUUGACGGUACCUAAUCAGAAAGCCACGGCUAACUACGUG
This 496-nucleotide ribosomal RNA is filed under the name uncultured bacterium. RNAcentral describes it as "partial 16S ribosomal RNA". It matches the Rfam family "Bacterial small subunit ribosomal RNA", at positions 29 to 507 of the family's 1533-position model. The record is from RNAcentral.